Molecule: non-coding RNA, 600 nt
Filed under: Pan troglodytes (chimpanzee)
Lineage: Eukaryota; Metazoa; Chordata; Mammalia; Primates; Hominidae
Source: RNAcentral
AGGUCUCAGCUGGGCACUCCUGAGCUCUGUGCUGCAACCUUGGGGCAUUGGGCUCUGUCUUUCGGCCCCUCGGGGUCAGACCCCUGCUGUGUUGGGGGAUCCGAGGUGCUCCCAAACUGCCUGGAAAGCAUUCAGGCGGGGUCGCUAGCAAGAACUCAGGCUGGGCAGCGGAGGAGGCACGGUGCACACACUCCUGCAGGAACAACCAGACGGGGCUUUGGGAGGGGCAGCGUGCAGGGGGUCCCGCAGAACAUAUGCGCCCCAGUCCCGCAGGAAGGACGGCCCUGCUCUCUCUUGGCUCACUGGUGGUGACAGCACUUCCUGGAAUAACGUUGCUUUGGAUUUAACAACAGUUGGGCAAAGGAGGUCGGUAUACAGAUACAGGACAAGAAGAGUGGUGUCAAAGGGAGGCUAAAUCAUUGGUUCUGGCUUCAUCUAAGGAAUUCUUAUGAGAAAUCGAGGGAGAGACUGUCCUGGGAAGUCUGAUGAAAUAUGCAUGAGUCUUCGUUGGAACCGUGGGAGGAAGAAGAGUUUUACCAAUCACCAGUGCUGAAGAAAUCUCUCCUUUCUGUGCAGGAUGAGGGAAUCACUAAAUGGCGA